This 205-nucleotide ribosomal RNA is filed under the name uncultured bacterium. RNAcentral's name for it is "partial 16S ribosomal RNA". The record is from RNAcentral.
GACGAACGCUGGNGGUGCGCCUAACACAUGCAAGUCGAACGGUGAACCGGGCUUCGGCCCGGGGAUCAGUGGCGAACGGGUGCGUAACACGUGGGGCAAACCUGCCCCCGACCCGUACCGGUAGGGAAACCCGGUAAAACCCCCGGGGAAACGGACGUAACUUAAACCGGUAACCGGUAACUUACCUUCCCUUCCCUUCGUACCG